GGAGAGACAGUAAAUCCAGCAGGAAGCCUCUCUGGGAAGGAGAAUCAGAUGUUACCCACUGACUGGGCAGACUCCCAGUUACCACCUUGUAGUAUCUGUGAUGGCAUAAUGGGAGGCCUUGAGUGCAACUUGGUAGAGGGAAGUCAGGAGACUUGGUCACAGGCCACCUCUGCCUUCGCAGCUGUUUGACAGCAGGCAGGUUACCUCACUUCUCAGUGUAGAUAUCUCCUCUAUGAAAUGGAAGGAAUAAUACCAACCUCACAGAUUUCUUAUGAAGAUCAAACGAGAUAAUGCAUAUUGACUCCAUUCAACCAGUGUAGCUGCUCUUAUGCAAGUUCCAAUGGGAGCUUGGAAGAAGCCGUUGUCAGAGGUCAUAGAGAGGCUCAAAGGCUUCAGGGAUUCUAUCAGCCUUUCUUCUCCUGGGUGCAGUGAAGGAGGCAAGACUGUUGUAGAACUCCCAGAAGAAUGUGGUUCUGCAAACCAACUCUGACUCUUGGUGUUCCUGAAGCCAUGGUGCCACUCAUGGAGCCUGAGUCUUGAUUCCUACAGCUACAGUGGAUCUAUUGUGUACUUCUGUAGACUUGAUUGUGGAUUUUUAGUCUCCUCCUGGUAAAGGAGAGAUAAGGAUGGCAGUUGACCUAUUUCCUGAAGUCUCUGUGAACUUCCUGACAAUUUUCUCUUCCCUAGUCUUGGUCCCCUGUAACAAUCAGCCAUGGACUCUGGACAUGGAAUCCUACAUCCAGCUGGGAGCAAGCUUACCUCUCCACUGAUUGCCUUAUUGCUUCUGGGCUGGUUCCUAUAUAAUGCCACCCACGUCUCACUCUAGAAUCUCAGAGAAACUUCAUCCUUUACUGACAGUAAAUAUUUUCUGGAAAAUACAUGCCAAGACCAUUGCUUUUAUUGAGCUUCUUAAAUUCCUAAACGUAUGGCCUGAGGCAAAAUGGGACUACAGUUUUCUGAGUUGGCAGAACGGCUAGUGAGCAAGAGACAAUGGCUUAUGUGAGGGACUCAGGAUGGGGUUUGGAGGAACUGUCCUAUAUGAGAGUUUAAACCUGGGGUAAGUGUCUAAAGCAGAGUCUAAAUGAUAGCAACCUCUGUUAUGGUUAUGGCAUCAGUUGGUGCCAGGUAAGAGAUAUUCCAAGGUCUGAGUAGACAAGGGUAAAGGAGGGUUGGCUACAUGUGGCCAGGCUGCAGAAGGCUCAUUUAUGGGAGCAGGAUCCAGGCCCAGGGAGGUUGGAUGGCUGCAAAGAGAUGGAAAACCAGAACCUCAGUCACUAGCUAAAGUUCAGAGCACAGUCAGGCAUUCGACGACAUCUUUAACAUAUUUCAUAGCCUCAGGCAAGUGUGUGCUUGAUGCUGAAAGUGGCCUGAGCACCAGCCUAUAUUUUUUCUCCAAACACCUUCUCCUGGUGAUUUGUCUGCUUUGCCUUCCACUCAUGACCAUGACUCAGUUACUGCUUCUUCUAAACUAUUUAAACACUGUAACUGCCUUCAGCCUUGCCCAAUACUACCUUUGACCUGACUCUACCUUUUGCUUUUUAUCUCUGGAUACAAUGCUUAUCCUAGGGAUGUUUCACGUAUCCAAAAACCAUUAUUUUACCCUAUGAUAAAAUAUUACACCCUAUGAUAAAAUGCCUUAUUUUACCUAGUAUGGUGCUCUUCAGCCUUUCCUGUCUCACUGACCGGCACCACCAACCUCUAUUUUUCCAAGCUAAAAAUCUGAAAUUUAUCAUAAACUUCCUUCACCUCUCCAUCUACCAUGUGCAUAUUUCACUACAGUGACUAUCCCAUCUCUAUUCUGCCAUGUGGUAAACAUCACCAGUAUUUACCAAUAUCCAAUUCUUUUCUCUCUGGGCAUAGAAGAGACAUACUUCCCACCUCAUUUUCAGUUAAGUGCAGCCAUAUCACUAGUAUGGACCAAUGAAACAUGAAUAAAACUUUGCAUCUUAUUUCUGGGCUAAGGUAGUAAAAGAAACUUUCUCAGUCCUCUUUACCUGAAACAUCCCUCUUCUCCUAUUGUGUUGAAUGCAGAGGUUUUAUGUUGAGAUGGUAGUGUCACCAAGUCAAAGAAGCCUGGCUAACUGCAUGACUGAGAAAUAAGCUUUUGUGAUAAACCACUGAGAUAUGGAGAUCAUUUGUUACCAUAAUAUAAUCUAUCAUAUCCUGACUAAUACAAUGAGUGAGGCCUGCUGAUUUACCACUUCAUAUGCCCCUCCAGUCCCUUCACUGCUCUAGCUCAGGACCUCAAUAUCUCCUACUAGAACUAUUGGAAAAGCUUUAAAAAUGUCUUGUCUCCAAGUUGUCAUCCCUCAGACUCAUCCUCCAAACCGACAUCAGAGUGGUUUUUGUGUAACUCAAAUCCAGCCAUGUAUUUGGGCUACACUGUUUCAUUGGCUCCCCAUCACUGACAUGAUGAAUAGGCUGGUGACAUGACAGGUAUUCUUCCUAGCCAGCCUCCUCUCCCAUGUCUCUUCUCCCUACAUUUUACAACCAGCAACACUUAAGUGUUUGUAAUUUCCAGAAUAAGCCAUGUUUCUUUGCCUUCACUUAUGCCAUUCCAUUUAUCCAAAACAUCUUUAUACAGCCUUCAUCUUCUUCUUUGCCUGGAUAACUCCUGAUUCUUCAAGAAUAGUUUCUAAUGUCACCUUUCUGCAAAGGGCUGGAGGAUGAUUCAGGAGCACUGAGACAUGUACUUUUCCUUAUAACAUGUUUCAGGAUUGUGGAAUCAGGAACUCAUACUCUUUCUCAACAAUCUCUAGGGCCUGUGAGGUCCUUGCAUUUGAUCUCCAUGGCUGACAGUCUAUAUUUUUUGUCAUUCUUAUACAUCAUAGCAUCCUAAUAUUAGUUAAACUUUGAAAUUAGAACAGUCCAAAUGUUUGCAUGAACAUUACCUCUCUGCAAUAACACACAUUACUUUUAUAAAUAAAAUAUAUAUUAUACCAUGUUUUAUC
This is a long non-coding RNA of Acinonyx jubatus (cheetah), 2951 nucleotides long. RefSeq lists it as uncharacterized. Lineage: Eukaryota; Metazoa; Chordata; Mammalia; Carnivora; Felidae. The record is from RefSeq and is a predicted model, not a curated record. The transcript is spliced from 3 exons.